UGGAGUUCCCUGUCUGAGCAAUACACCGAGCGGCGCAGCACUUGUUCAACCAACACGACCGCUCCAUUGAUCAACAGACUUUUAAAAAACAACACCAACAAGCAAAUAAUUACCUCUGAAGAAAUUAACUUUUAAAAAAUAUCAACUAUAUAGUACAUUUCGACAACAAAGAGAAUUCAGCGCCGCGCUCGUAAAGAACUUCUAUUGGAUACAAUAUCACCUGGAUUUUUUUCUUUCCUUUCUUUCCUUCAUCUGUGUUAGUGGUUUUACAGAUCGCACUUCAUCAUCGUGCUGUCAGUCGGAGAAGAACCCCGCUGUAUCUGUACGGAUACACACGCGCUCACGCUGAUGACAGACUGAAUGACUGCUAUGACAGGGAAACUAGCGGACAAGCUCCCUCUUACCAUGAGCAGUUUAAUAAACACAAUUCCCGAGAGCCUGUAUCCCGAAGAGGACAUUCCUACGUCUAUGAACAUUUUCACCAGCACGGAUUCUAUUUCUCACUAUUCGCAGAUGAACACAGAUAAUAUCAUGGAUUUGGGCAUGGGCAGCGAGAAGAGCACAGCAGAACUCCAGUAUGGCUCUGGCUUCCAGUCCAACCGCAGCGGACAAACGGUGACCUACUUGGGGAAGUUUGCCUUUGAUACACCCCCCUCGGGUGGGAUCGGAGGUUCUGGGUGGUGCUCGGACAACAAUAUCAUCAGUCUGGUGAGCGCGGGCAUCUUAGGCGUUUCCCCGUCGCCGGGCACCAUCACCACACAGACCUCUGCAUCUUCGGGCAGCAUGGGCCCCCAGUCCUCAGAGCUGGAACAAGUCUACGGCGCACCCCUGCCCGCGUACUCCACUUGCAGUGACAUGUACCAGGAGCAGGUUUCCUUUCACCACAGCCCGGUGGCCACCACCACCCCCCUACCCUACCCCGGUACUGACUAUCACACCACCACCACCAAAACCUCCAUGGACGGCAGCCUCUUCUCCAUGAUUCCCGAUUACAACCUCUUCCACCACCAGGGGGAGGUUGGCGUGAUGGAGCACAAGCCUUUCCAAACGAUGGACCCCAUCCGCCUCAACCCUCCACCCAUCACUCCCCUGGAGACCAUCCGGGCCUUCAAAGACAAGCAGCAGAUCCAUCCGGGUUUCAUAGGCGGACAGCAGCACGCGACCCAGCACCACCAGCCCCCACAGACUCUAACCCUCAAGCCGAUCCGGCCUCGGAAGUAUCCGAACCGGCCAAGCAAGACACCGGUGCACGAGCGGCCACACGCGUGCCCGGCCGAGAACUGCGACCGGCGCUUCUCCCGCUCGGACGAGCUGACGCGCCACCUGCGCAUCCACACGGGCCACAAGCCCUUCCAGUGCCGCAUCUGUAUGCGCUCCUUCAGCCGCAGCGACCAUCUGACCACCCACAUCCGCACCCACACGGGGGAGAAACCCUUCUCCUGUGAGUUCUGCGGCCGCAAGUUCGCCCGCAGCGACGAGCGCAAGCGGCACGCCAAGGUGCACCUCAAGCAGAAGGACAAGAAGCUGUCAGACAAGGGGAGCGGGGCGUCAACGAGCCACAGUUCUCCCCCCAGCUCCUGUGGCACCGCAGGAGCCAACACUGGGAGCAUCAUGACUGUUACCACCUGUGCUUAGGAGCCAAGCCCACCGUCUCUUUCGAGCAGACUGGAACCUGCUUUUGCAGUGAGACAAAUAUGGGACUCUCUCUUUCUCUCACUCUUUCUCUAUCUCUCUUUCUUCCUCCCGCCGCUUUGUUUCCAGGUGAUUUGUCCUCUCAAUACCCAGGCAAACUCUUUUUGUUGCGCGACGGGGAAAAGGGGGAGAUGAGUCAGUCCGCACAGAGCAGAGCGGAGAAACCCGAGGGUCAGGCUUCCUGUCUCCGAUUGUACGCCAGUGGAAGACCACGGGCGGGGUUGAGGACGGCACGCCCCAGUGGCCUUGCACUGCUUUGUGGGCCGCGUCAGAGCCAUGCGGAGACCAGUCUGAUUUCGGCAGCUUUCAUUUCAUGUCUCCAGAAAACCCACAAAGAAUCUGGAGUGGGGAGGGCGAGGAGCCAGAAAGACCAGUUUUGGCAUAAUAGGCAGAUUGUAAUGAUAUUGCUUAAAAAACAACAAACAAACAAACAAACAGAAUAAUUAACAGAAACAAGUUUAAUUACUGGCUCAUCUGCAAAACUGUAAAGAGGAGGAUGUUUAAAAAUAACAUUUGAACCAACGGGUGGCUUUCUACCUUGAAAAUACCCCUGCAGGGGUGAGGGCUACGGGAGAGAGCUCGGCGAGGCGAGGGCACGAAGGCACCAUCAAACGCAUGCGUCCCUGUGGGUUCCCGCUCUCCUGCGCGAGCCGCGCUUCCUGGCAGGGCGCCAUCUUGUCUCCAAUUAACUGACUCCUGAUGGCUCCGCACAUCUUCUUCUCUUUCUUCAUUUCAAUGGAUAAAUGAAUAACUCCGUCACAUUGUCUUUGGUAGCCUACUCAACAAGUUAACGCUUUUUUUUCCAUCGGUUAUGUAAAAGCAGCGGCGGCUUUAGAAAUUCUCAGCUUGAAGCACCUUCUUUAUUUUAUCUCUCCACUCCAGUGUCAAUGCUUAUUUCUACCGUCGCUUCAUUCUUAAUAAACUGAAAAGACAUGUUCUAUAUGACUCUGUGUAGAAUAUGGCACUUUCUACAGUUGCAAAAUUGAAACUCUUGAGUUACUUUUAACGCAGCAUUAUUUUCAAAGAAUUUCAACACUGUAGAGAAGUUGACUUUUGGAAAAAAAAAAAAAAUAAAGACAAAGUCAUUGUCUUGUU
This is an RNA transcript of Scleropages formosus (Asian bonytongue), 2787 nucleotides long. It is a transcript of the gene named early growth response 3, with no coding region annotated. The record is from RefSeq and is a predicted model, not a curated record. The transcript has 3 exons. Lineage: Eukaryota; Metazoa; Chordata; Actinopteri; Osteoglossiformes; Osteoglossidae.